This 82-nucleotide microRNA precursor is filed under the name Salvia sclarea (clary). RNAcentral's name for it is "miR156 stem-loop (ssl-MIR156)". Its record names the gene ssl-MIR156. The record is from miRBase by way of RNAcentral. Lineage: Eukaryota; Viridiplantae; Streptophyta; Magnoliopsida; Lamiales; Lamiaceae.
UGACAGAAGAGAGUGAGCACACGCAGGCAAUUGUAUAUGGAGUAUGCCUUUGUGGAUGCGUGUGCUCACUUCUUUUCUGUCA